GAUGAACGCUGGCGGCGUGCCUAAUACAUGCAAGUCGAGCGAACGGACGAGAAGCUUGCUUCUCUGAUGUUAGCGGCGGACGGGUGAGUAACACGUGGAUAACCUACCUAUAAGACUGGGAUAACUUCGGGAAACCGGAGCUAAUACCGGAUGAUAUUUUGAACCGCAUGGUUCAAAAGUGAAAGACGGUCUUGCUGUCACUUAUAGAUGGAUCCGCGCUGCAUUAGCUAGUUGGUAAGGUAACGGCUUACCAAGGCAACGAUGCAUAGCCGACCUGAGAGGGUGAGCGGCCACACUGGAACUGAGACACGGUCCAGACUCCUACGGGAGGCAGCAGUAGGGAAUCGUCCGCAAUGGGCGAAAGCCUGACGGAGCAACGCCGCGUGAGUGAUGAAGGUCUUCGGAUCGUAAAACUCUGUUAUUAGGGAAGAACAUAUGUGUAAGUAACUGUGCACAUCUUGACGGUACCUAAUCAGAAAGCCACGGCUAACUACGUG
RNAcentral lists this ribosomal RNA (497 nucleotides) under uncultured bacterium. RNAcentral describes it as "partial 16S ribosomal RNA". It matches the Rfam family "Bacterial small subunit ribosomal RNA", at positions 28 to 507 of the family's 1533-position model. The record is from RNAcentral.